AAUCAACGGCAUCACGAGGAUCCUACUGUCUCCCCCCUCUAAUCAGUGAAAUUGAUCUCCCCGUGAAGAAGCGGGGAUAUAAAUAUAAGACGAGAAGACCCCAUGGAGCUUUAAACCCAACAACACCUAUCUAUUUUAUUCCCCCAUAUUUAUACGAUUAUGUUUGUUUGGUUUUAGGUUGGGGUGACCGCGGAGUAUAAAACAACCUCCACGAAGAAAAGACUAAUAAUCUUUAUCAGAGAAAGACAUUUCUAAGAAAUAAUAUAUUAACUUUAAAUGAUCCGAUAUUCGAUUAACGAAUCAAGUUACCCUGGGGAUAACAGCGCAAUCCACCUUAAGAGCCCUUAUCGACAGGUGGGUUUACGACCUCGAUGUUGGAUCAGGGUAUCACAGUGGUGCAGCAGCUACUAAUGGUUCGUUUGUUCAACGAUUAAAACCCU
Molecule: ribosomal RNA, 440 nt
Filed under: Boophis luciae
Lineage: Eukaryota; Metazoa; Chordata; Amphibia; Anura; Mantellidae
Description: partial 16S ribosomal RNA
Rfam family: Bacterial large subunit ribosomal RNA
Source: RNAcentral